AGUGAACGCUGGCGGUAGGCCUAACACAUGCAAGUCGAACGGCAGCACAGUAAGAGCUUGCUCUUACGGGUGGCGAGUGGCGGACGGGUGAGGAAUACAUCGGAAUCUACUUUUUCGUGGGGGAUAACGUAGGGAAACUUACGCUAAUACCGCAUACGACCUACGGGUGAAAGCAGGGGAUCUUCGGACCUUGCGCGAUUGAAUUAGCCGAUGUCGGAUUAGCUAGUUGGCGGGGUAAUGGCCCACCAAGGCGACGAUCCGUAGCUGGUCUGAGAGGAUGAUCAGCCACACUGGAACUGGGACACGGUCCAGACUCCUGCGGGAGGCAGCAGUGGGGAAUAUUGGACAGUGGGCGCAAGCCUGAUCCAGCCAUACCGCGUGGGUGAAGAAGGCCUUCGGGUUGUAAAGCCCUUUUGUUGGGAAAGAAAAGCAGCAGGUUAAUACCCCGCUGCUCUGACGGUACCCAAAGAAUAAGCACCGGCUAACUUCGUG
Molecule: ribosomal RNA, 492 nt
Filed under: uncultured bacterium
Lineage: Bacteria
Description: partial 16S ribosomal RNA
Rfam family: Bacterial small subunit ribosomal RNA
Source: RNAcentral